UGCCGAUGUAGGGGGCGGGACUAUUUGGUCAUCUGGAUACUACUAACGCUACUUCAAUUGCUAAACACGUAGUUAGUUUAAUUCAAGUUAAGUUAGUUUUGUCAAUUGUUUUAGCUUAACUUCUUCUCGAGACUAGCAGUAGGGAGGUUAGGCGUUGAAGCACCCGAGGAAACUACAGUAUUUGGGUCAAGGCGAGUACAAGAAGUGAGGAAAAUCAACCGAGCUGAUGCCCACAAAAGCUAACACUUCAGCGGCUAACGUUAACUAGCUAAUAUUGGACAGAUAAAACAUCCAGGAACCAUGUUUCACCACAGAUGGUCUAACGUUUGUUGCUGGUCUUCAAGAGGGACUGAAGGAUAUUAUCCUGAGGCGGUUUAAUACUAACACCGGUCGCCUUCAGCUAAUGGUUCCCUUUGAGUGUGUGCUGUGAGGCUCAGGCCAUUGAAUAAUGUAGUGCAGAGCCUGCGGCAGGGUAGUAUCACUCAAGUAGAGGACAGGAACAUACACACACAUGUGCACCUACACAAGCAAACAAACAUUUUAAAAAGAGAUGAUACUUGUACUCUGUGCAGGAGAGUGAAGGGCAGUGUCCAAAUUUAACUUUUUGACUCACCUGCCAAGGGGAGCGGUAGAUGAAAAAAUCCACCGGCCAAGCAUAUUUUUUACCAGCCAAAAUAAUAAAUUGCCUUUUUGUGUCACACACACAUUUGUUUCAGUACAUUUCAUUGAGAUAAUAGGCCAGAGCAAAAUGUCCUUAAAAUAACCCAAUAAACAUGCAUUAUCAAAGCAUGUUAGUACAGACCAAUAUUUUAUAUUUAUCAAUGUGAUACAGAUGGUUGUACGAAAAGAUUUUGUUUUGGGUAUAAAGAUUUCGUAAUGCCAAAAUGAGCAACAUCUGCUGAUCCAGACGUUUAUUUUGCCAUUAUGUACAACUCUGUAUGCAAGACGCUUUUGUAUAUUUUAUGGGUGAAUCUGGGAAGUUAGCCAACAAAAACAAACAUCUGCAGGGAUUAAAGUUCUCCAUCGCUAUGAUGGAUUUCCGUCAUUUGGGUUGAGAGAGAGCGAGAGGUAACUCACCACUCAUUCUCUAUCUCCGAUGGUGUGUAACAGCAUGUGUGCACGUGACCAGUGCGGAGUAUCAAAACAUAGAGCUUUGCUCAACUUAAGCGAAUAGUUCCGAGUGACAAAUCAAACAUCGGAAUUAGACGGAAUAACAACGGUAAGAUUUGUAUUGUUGUUGAAUGUUCAAUAUGAGGUGAAAAUGAGUUAGAUGUGCGUAAAAAACACAUAUGCGUGUCUACACUAUAUAGGGACAAACAUGAUUAAGUUCCUCCGAGCCGUCAAGCCCGAUAUUUAAUUACAUGACUAUUAUGGUACAAACGUUUACCCGCCAGUGUGGCCGAUAGCCUUCCGAGAUUUACUUGUCAAACGGAAAAUCUACCCCGAUUUGGCAUUUGGUGGGUGUUAAUUUCAGACCCUUGUGAUGGGCAUACAUUUAUGCAUUCAUAAACAACAGGCUUCCUCAAAAUAGUAACUCGGUGUAACUAGCAGGAGGAAAUAAAAAGAGGAAAACUGCUGAGAGACGCUGCAUGUCAACAACAUGGACUAAGAGUAGUCCUAUAAAACCCAACUGUGUUUAAGGCAAAACUGUUCUUGUCUUUAGUUUUUUUUUCCCUGAACUUGAGCGUGCUUCCACUGAGGAUGUUUGGAGUAUAAAUUUUACA
Thunnus maccoyii (southern bluefin tuna) is the source of this 1724-nucleotide long non-coding RNA. RefSeq lists it as uncharacterized. Lineage: Eukaryota; Metazoa; Chordata; Actinopteri; Scombriformes; Scombridae. The record is from RefSeq and is a predicted model, not a curated record. The transcript has 3 exons.